Long non-coding RNA from Cavia porcellus (domestic guinea pig), 393 nucleotides. RefSeq lists it as uncharacterized. The record is from RefSeq and is a predicted model, not a curated record. Lineage: Eukaryota; Metazoa; Chordata; Mammalia; Rodentia; Caviidae. The transcript is spliced from 2 exons.
ACAGGAUGGAGCAGGACACCUCCUCCACCAGGGAGCCCAGGAGUGAGGUGUGGAGGCACAGCCCAGGAGCCUGAGGAUGCUGAAGCCUCAGCCUAGGAGGGAAACAGAGGCCUAGAGAAGCAAAGUGGCUUCCCCAAACUCCCCCACUUACUGAAGGCAGAACCAGGAGGCGCAGGCAGGUUCUGAUCACCGCAGAGAGGACUUCAGGACUUCUGAACAGGAAUGCUCUGCACAGCAGCGAAUGCUGAGCUCCCUCUCCAGCUGGCGUGGAGCCCUGGCUCCUGCAGUGUGGGACUUGGUGCCAUAUUUUACAGCAGACAUAAAUUCCACGUUUCCGAGUAAAACUAGAACCCAGUUUAUGCCCAAUGAAAAUAAAUUAAUUUUAAUGAGGCU